Molecule: ribosomal RNA, 2400 nt
Filed under: Triticum aestivum (bread wheat)
Lineage: Eukaryota; Viridiplantae; Streptophyta; Magnoliopsida; Poales; Poaceae
Description: partial small subunit ribosomal RNA
Source: RNAcentral
AUGAAAAAAGGCGACGAGGAGAAAACUGCAUUCAAAACGCAUCACGGCCAUUUUGAGUUCCGUGUCAUGCCAUUUGGGGUCACCAACGGACCACCCACAUUCCAAUGUGUCAUAAACUCGGUGUUCUCCGGACCAAAUCGUAAGUUCGUCAUUACUUUUCUCGAUGACAUCUUGGUGUUCAGCCGUUCUCUGCAGGAGCAUGUUGAUCAUCUGCGCACCGUCUUCUCCAUUCUGCGACAACAUCAACUGUAUGCCAAACAAUCCAAGUGCUCCUUCGCACAGCCCAGCAUUGAGUACCUCGGGCAUGUUAUUUCCAGAGAGGGCGUGGCAACUGAUAAGAGCAAGACUAGUGCCAUGUCUGCGUGGCCGACACCGACAAAUGCCACUGAACUCCGGGGUUUUCUGGGUUUGACAGGCUAUUACCGCAAGUUUGUGAAGAACUAUGGGAUUCUUGCCAAGCCAUUGACUCAAUUGCUCACUAAGAAAGGAUUCAGUUGGACAGAUCAAGCUCAAGCGGCGUUCGACCUCCUCAAACAAGCAAUGGUGAACACCCCAGUGCUAUCUCUGCCUGAUUUCAACCGCCCGUUCUCCAUCGAGACGGAUGCGUGUGAUACGGGUGUGGGCGCUGUCCUAGUACAAGAAGGCCACCCUGUCGCCUACUUAAGCAAGGCUCUGGGCACACGCAAUCAACGCCGUUCCAUUUACGAGAAAGAAUUCCUUGCGGUGAUCAUGGCGAUAGACAGGUGGCGCGCCUACCUACAACGGGCACCAUUCGUCAUCGUCACGGAUCAUAAGAGCUUGUGCAGCUUGGGGGAGCAACAGUUGGACACCGAGUUACAGCGCGGUGUUGACAAUGGUGCCGCAGAUGCAUUGUCUCGCGUCGGGCAUCUUCUUUCCCUCGAUGCCAUCUCCGUGUGCCAACCACAGUGGCUGCAAGAAGUCGCGAACUCAUACGAGACGGACGCUGACGCCCAAGAUCUGCUGCAACGGUUGGCUGUCUUCAGUCCGGAUGAGCACGGCUACGAGCUCAGGCAAGGCGUGAUCCGCCUUCAGGACCGGCUCUGGAUUGGUGCCAACACCGCACUCCAGACCAAACUAAUCAGUGCUUUCCAUGCCAGCGCAAUUGGGGGUCACUCUGGAGUCACGGCCACAUAUCAGCGCCUCAAGAAGCUAUUUGCCUGGCGGGGCCUCAAGCAGGCCGUGGAGGAAUUCGUGCACCAGUUUGCCGUUUGCCAACACGCCAAGCACGAGCAUAUCAAGCCACCCGGACUGCUGCAACCUCUGCCCAUCCCUACAGAGCCGUGGCAUGACCUCACCACGGACUUCAUCGAAGGUUUGCCACUGUCUGAGGGCUGUGAGGUGAUCAUGGUCGUUGUUGACCGGUUCACUAAGUACGCGCAUUUUGUGCCCUUGCGUCACCCCUUCACAGCAGCAACAGUGGCGCGUGCAUUCUGGGACAGCAUCAUCAAGCUACACGGGGUGCCACACUCGAUUGCCUCGGAUCGCGAUCCUAUCUUCACCAGCAAAAUGUGGCGUGCUCUCCACGACGCCGCCGGCACCAAGCUCAGUUACUCGACAGCAUAUCACCCUCAGACGGAUGGACAGAGCGAGCACGUCAAUCAGUGCCUCGAGAUGUAUCUGCGAUGUGCGGUGCAUGACAAUCCCAAGCAGUGGCGAAAGUGGCUGUCCACGGCUGAGUUCUGGUACAAUACCACCUAUCACUCAUCGCUAAACACAACACCGUUCCAGGCACUCUACGGCAAAGAACCCAACCUGGGUGGUCUACCUACUUUGGCCACCAGGUUGCCCGCGGAUGCAAGCACCGAGCUGGACUGGGCAACUCACAGUGGCUGGCUCCGUGAUCAAAUGGCGCGGGCUCAAAACAGGUGCAAGCAAAAGACUGAUCGCAAUCGUACAGAGCGUUCCUUCGAAGUGGGUGAUUCAGUGCUGCUCAAGCUUCAGCCAUAUACACAGUCAACAGUGGCUAACCGCCCGUACCCCAAAUUGGCGUACAAGUUCUUUGGUCCAUUUCAGAUUCUGGAACGCAUUGGUCCUUUGGCUUACAAGCUCCAGUUGCCGGACGACAGUCGCAUACACCCAGUUUUUCAUGUCUCGCAGCUCAAGCCCUUCACUCCGGACUACAGUCCAGUUUUCUCAGAGCUACCCCGUGCACCGAACCUCACAGCGGCACCGGUACAACCUAUUGCCAUUCUCGAACGUCGCAUGGUGAAGAAAGGCAACAACUCAAUUGUGCAGGUCAAAGUUCAGUGGUCUUCGUUAGCUCCUGAAUCCCCGACCUGGGAGGAUUAUUCUGUGCUCCGUCAGCGCUACCCGGAGGCAAGCUGUUGGGAUGAAGACGCUCGCGCUCAAGGGGAGGCAAAUGUCACACCUGAUACAUGA